This is a long non-coding RNA of Carassius auratus (goldfish), 785 nucleotides long. RefSeq lists it as uncharacterized. The transcript is spliced from 3 exons. The record is from RefSeq and is a predicted model, not a curated record. Lineage: Eukaryota; Metazoa; Chordata; Actinopteri; Cypriniformes; Cyprinidae.
UAGAAGUAUUAAUUUCUUUUAAAAAAAAGUUACUGACCCCGUAACUUCUGCUCAUUCUUAAUAAUAAGAAUAAAUCAUAAAUUUUCUAACUUUUUUUUUUUAAAAUACAGUCUGAAUUUAAACUUUCAAAAGUAUAUGCAAAUAAAUCGACAGUAUUUUUCUGCGACUGCUCUGCAAUCAACACUCUUUCUUUUUCUGUCUCCCACACACUUUGUUCUCAUUUUCUUAGUGAGAGGACUGAGGAGGUGGAUGCCUCUCUAAGCGCAGGAAGGUUAAACAAACAACUGUUUAAGUGCUGCUCAAGUCAGUGGUGCAGAAACGGUCUGUACCAGCUCAGCACAAAAUCAGGUCUCCAUUACCAAACACUAAUACACUCUACAUGUACAUGUGUGUAUAAUGGCUCCUAAGCAGGGUGACACCAAAAUGACAGACAAACUGUUUAGAGAGUACUCACGCACAGUUUCAGCACAAUUUGGUUACAUGGAGAACAUUUGUUUAAAACUACUUGUUUAUACAGUUCACUCGCUACAUGUAACGGGUAUGGAAAUUAAUGUUCAUUUCAUUUAUAGAAUUACACAAAAACUGUUCAAAAUGUAUACCUGAAUAUGUAUGUCUGUGUGUGCACUUUCCCCUUUAAAUUUCUGACGGAAGAAUUGAUUUUAAUUUCCUGUCUUUGCGCCUCCUCUUCCCUUUCUGCGCUGUCUGUGCAUGGGAGAGAAAAGACAAGGGCGAAAAACACACUGUAAAAGACUUGUGUUAUGUUUAACAGUAAAUGAAGAACCGAC